Non-coding RNA from Otolemur garnettii (small-eared galago), 52 nucleotides. The record is from Rfam. NCBI's taxonomy places the organism in Eukaryota, Metazoa, Chordata, Mammalia, Primates, Galagidae.
UUUUUAGUAUAAGUAUUUCCCAUACAACAUUUGGAACAUACUUAUACUAAAA